UCUGAACGCUGGCGGCGUGGCUAAGACAUGCAAGUCGAACGGUGUAGCAAUACACAGUGGCGGACGGGUGAGUAAUAUAUCGCUAAUGUACCCCGACUGUCUGGGAUAGCUAGUCGAAAGAUUAGGUAAUACCAGAUGAGACCACGGAACCGCAUGGUUCAGUGCUCAAAGGGUCACCGCAUUGGGCGCAGGCGAUAUCGUAUCAGCUAGUUGGGGAGGUAACGGCUCACCAAGGCGACGACGCGUAGCCGGGCUGAGGAGGGU
RNAcentral lists this ribosomal RNA (264 nucleotides) under uncultured bacterium. RNAcentral describes it as "partial 16S ribosomal RNA". It matches the Rfam family "Bacterial small subunit ribosomal RNA", at positions 30 to 301 of the family's 1533-position model. The record is from RNAcentral.